CGGCGCGCUCCCCCCGAGCACGAUGCCGCGCAGGAAUGUGAAAGGCGCGCGCCCGCCGCCAUUUUCUCUCUUUCUUGGCAGACGGCGGCAGCGGCCGGAGCGGCGCCGGGGCGGCCAUGGCGGACUAUUCCACGGUGCCCCCUCCUGCCGCGGGCGCGCCCGGGGGAGGUGGCGGUGGGGCUGGAGGAGUGAACGAUGCCUUUAAAGACGCGCUGCAGAGAGCUAGGCAGAUUGCAGCGAAAAUUGGAGGAGAUGCUGGCACAGCAAUGAAUUCAAACGACUACGGUUAUGGAGGGCAGAAAAGACCUCUUGAGGAUGGAGAUCAACCAGAUGCUAAGAAAGUUGCUCCCCAGAAUGACUCUUUUGGAAAUCAGCUACCACCGAUGCAUCAGCAGCAAAGGUCUGUGAUGACAGAGGAGUACAAAGUUCCAGAUGGGAUGGUUGGAUUCAUAAUUGGCAGAGGUGGAGAACAGAUCUCACGCAUACAGCAGGAGUCUGGCUGUAAAAUACAGAUUGCACCUGACAGUGGAGGCCUGCCAGAAAGAUCAUGUAUGCUAACUGGAACACCAGAAUCUGUUCAGUCAGCAAAAAGAUUACUUGAUCAGAUAGUUGAAAAGGGAAGACCUGCACCUGGAUUUCAUCAUGGUGAUGGACCUGGAAAUGCAGUCCAAGAAAUUAUGAUUCCAGCAAGUAAAGCAGGAUUAGUUAUUGGGAAAGGUGGAGAGACAAUUAAACAAUUACAGGAGCGGGCAGGUGUCAAAAUGGUCAUGAUUCAAGAUGGUCCGCAGAACACUGGUGCAGACAAGCCCCUUAGGAUAACUGGAGACCCUUAUAAAGUUCAGCAAGCCAAGGAAAUGGUGCUGGAGUUAAUUCGUGAUCAAGGUGGCUUUAGAGAGGUGCGCAACGAAUAUGGGUCAAGAAUAGGAGGAAAUGAAGGGAUAGACGUUCCAAUACCACGAUUUGCUGUAGGUAUUGUUAUUGGAAGAAAUGGAGAGAUGAUUAAAAAGAUCCAGAACGAUGCUGGUGUUAGGAUCCAAUUUAAGCCAGAUGAUGGAACAACUCCAGAUAGAAUAGCCCAGAUCACAGGGCCUCCUGACAGAUGUCAGCAUGCUGCAGAAAUUAUUACAGAUCUCCUUCGCAGUGUUCAGGCUGGUAACCCUGGUGGACCAGGACCUGGUGGUCGAGGAAGGGGUAGAGGCCAAGGCAACUGGAACAUGGGGCCUCCUGGUGGAUUACAGGAGUUCAAUUUUAUUGUCCCUACUGGCAAAACUGGAUUAAUCAUUGGAAAAGGUGGUGAAACUAUUAAAAGUAUAAGCCAACAGUCUGGUGCUAGAAUAGAACUUCAGAGAAAUCCUCCACCUAAUGCGGAUCCAAACAUGAAGAUGUUUACUAUCCGUGGAACACCGCAGCAGAUAGAUUAUGCACGACAACUUAUAGAAGAAAAGAUUGGAGGUCCAGUGAAUCCAUUGGGUCCACCUGUUCCCCAUGGUCCUCAUGGUGUUGUUCCUGGCCCCCAUGGACCUCCUGGGCCACCGGGUCCUGGUGCUCCCAUGGGACCGUAUAAUCCAGCUCCUUAUAACCCAGGCCCUCCUGGUCCUGCACCUCAUGGUCCUCCAGCUCCAUAUGCUCCACAGGGAUGGGGAAAUGCUUAUCCACACUGGCAGCCACCAAACCCACCAGACCCAGGUAAGCCAGGAACAGAUCCCAAUUCAGCAGCGUGGGCAGCUUAUUAUGCUCACUAUUAUCAGCAGCAAGCACAGCCACCACCUGCAGCCCCUCCUGGUGGACCAGCUACAACCCAAACUAAUGGACAAGGAGAUCAGCCAAAUCCAGCACCAGCAGGGCAGGUUGACUAUACCAAGGCCUGGGAGGAGUACUACAAAAAAAUGGGUCAAGCUGUUCCUGCCCCUGCUGGGGCUCCUCCGGGCGGCCAGCCAGAUUACAGCGCAGCGUGGGCUGAGUACUACAGGCAGCAGGCAGCAUACUACGCUCAGACAAGUCCACAGGGAAUGCCACAGCAUCCUCCAGCACCACAGUGCCUUCCCAGACCUUCCACCUUAGGUUCUGCUGCAAAAAAGCAACAGGUAAGCACAACCUAAGGAAGUAUAUAAAUUAAUAUAUUUCAGUACAUUAAUGUUGUCCCUGUGAGAUCUUUGUGGUUGUGUAUUGAAAAGCAAUCUGCUGCUUCCCCAAAUGCAUUGUUACUCACGGUUCCAUUUGAGUGGAAAAUCUUAAGUUUUUAAACAACUGUUUAUAUUUCUAGGUCAAUAUGUAUUUUUUUCUUUUUUUCUUUUUCUUUUUUUUUUUUUUUUAGAAAAGAUUAUUAGAUUGCAGUAAUUGAACUUGAUCAGAAUAAGUAAUUUUUUAUUAUUUUACUUCAAAUAGAUAAGUGUUGCAAUUAAAGAAUCAAAACCUUUAAAAUAUGCAGGAAUUGCUUUGGUUAGAAAUGUCAACAGCCUUCACAAAUGUUUUUGUUUUUUUUAAUAGGGCACUAUUCCCACCUAAUCCAUAAGACCUAAAUGUAAAGAAUGACUUCUUGUUGUUAUCACUGAACUUGAUAACAUGUCUUACAGUUAUAGUGUGUUAGUGGAAUCUUUAGAUAACUUAGUUUGCUUAUUCAUACUUGACAUGGUAGGAAAAGAGAUUUUGGAGUUUGAGAUGAGUAUGUUUUAACCUAAAAAGCAUGAGCACCACUUAAAUCCUAACAGUACAGCAAAUAAUGUUUUAUUGCUAUAGCAGUCAGUGUAUCCUGUUUCUUGAUACUUAUAACUGAAUUGCUGAAUAUUUUGAUAGUAUGAAAUGUUAAAUGUCUUACAGAUGGUCUGGUACAGGUUUCUGUUCUGAGAUUUUGUUGUUGGUUUUUUUAGCUUAACAUAAAGCAGCAUCUCUUUGGUUUUUUUGUUCAUUAUUUUGUUUCUGAACUGUGCUGCUCCUCUUUCAAAAGUCCUGCUUAUUUGUACAUCAAAGAAAAAUAUUCAAAAAUACUGCCUUCAUUUUCACACACAGUGCUGAAGAUGCUGCAAGCACCAAAUCAUAGCUCAUAGAAUCAGGUCCUGAGAUAGUUACUACCAGUAAAGAGGAAUCCUUUGAGUGUAUGCCAUUGGUGAGCCGAUGAGCAUGGACCAUAGAAGGGCUCCAUGUAGAAGGUAAAAUUGGCAAAAGCAUAACAGAUUUGAAAUGUAUCCCAUACAUAAUUAUAUAGGGUAUAAUUUUUGUUUUGAUCACUUUUCAUUCUUUAAAGUAUUCUUGUUUGACCAUAAAUGUUCCAUAAUGUUAAGUUUUUAAACUGUGAUUUAAUAAUAUAAAUCAUCUAUUUUACUUUAUAUUCUUCUAAACAGUCAAGCUAAUUUUUGAACUGAAUUAAUAGUUGUGCUUCAGUUUCUCAAGCCACUUAGCAUUUCAUCUGUAGUUUAACAUGUAACUUCAUUUUUGACGUGAGAAGAGGGUAGGUGUGUACCAUUUGAAUUUUGAUACUGUGGAUUUAGUGUGGGGGUGAGUCAUUUGUUCACUUCCUUUUUACAUCGUACUUUUUCCUUCAGCUGUUACUCCUAAAAUAUCUUGAACGGUCUUUCAAAUUGUUAAUUUAGCCUGUGGAAGGAGAUAGAGAAGAAAAAGCCGGUGUAUUUGGGGUAUUGCUAGUGUGUGAAAGGGAAGAUGUUCUUGUGUGUAGCAUUUGAGCUGUUUUGGCUUCCAGCUUUCUCACUGCAGGGCUUACAGGCAUGCUGGUUUGUGCAGAGCUUAGUGUUUCUUUUUCAACUCUGUCUCCAAACUCAGAGUUCCUGGGACAACAGUAGAUUGUUGGAGUUACCACAGUAGCCAAAAAGAUGACUGGACUUGCUUAAGAAAUGCAGUGAACCUGUCCAAAAGGUGUCUUGAAAAGUUUCCUGCUUACCCCACCCUCACCACUUAGUGUCCCACAAUGAGUUUAAAGAGUAAGACAGGUUUUAAAAGGAAGCAUAAUGUUUCUAAAUAGGAAAAGCAUUUUCAUUUCACUUUCUGCAGCCUAUACUUUAUUAGGACAUGGAAUAAAAUACAGGUGGAUAUUCUUUAGUGUAGCUUAAUUAUAAGUCAUUUCACUUGUCCAGGCAGACAGGAUCGCAGUUCACUUGCACAGCCUAUCUUGAAGUAUUUCAUCUUUUUACUAGUGGUAUUUUUUUGGAUGGUAGAAACUGUUUCUCCCCUGUUCUUUUCCAGAGUAAUUCUUAAGUUUCCCAUUGCAUGCUAAAAGCUUUUCCAUUUUGCUUUUUUUUCUGGAAGUGGGGGGAGGGAGGACUGGGCUUUUCAGAAAGCAUACGAUUGACAGGAAUCCCUCUUCCCUAGUAAUAGCUUAUGAAACUCUUGUGUAUGCACAAGUAUUUCUCUUGCGUGCAUGUGAAAUGCCUUUUCGUCCUGAGAAAAGUGUUCUCUGCAGAAACUACCCGUGUGUAAACAGAAGAUUGGCUUUAAAAGGCAACUGUGAUGGGAACAGUGUCUUAGGGAGAUGCAGCUUGGACUUGAGACAUUCAAUCAUCACUGAAGGAAUUGAGAUACUCUGAUCUCUUCGCUAUAACUUCUCUCCAGUGAACACUUACCUGCUAAGAAAAGCCUGUGGUUUGCAAACUGCAAUCAAGAACCCCUUUCAGAGGACAUCUCAGAAUACUUUUAUCUGUUAAUGGAGGAAGUGGACUGGGAGCUGUCAGAGUACUGAUAAUCCAGAUCUCUAUACUGUGAGCAGCCCUGGACUGGUAUGUGGGGUAGCCCAUUAAGGGAAUUAGAGAAAUCUUUCAUUUGAUAUUUUUAAGGGAAAAAAAAUUAAAGAAUUGAAGGAAAAUAACUGCUGAAUUCUUAAGAAAAAUGUUUACUUCAAAUUUUGACAACCACUGGUCAGCAGGUACAACUUCAUGUUAGAAAGUUUCUUCUGAUGCGGAGAAAUUAUAGAUUAAUUCAUAUUAAUAAAAAAUGCGUAAGCAUAAGAAGAGAGAUGUGAAUUAAUCUUCAGAUAGAACAUCUAAGUGAUUUCAUAAAGUUCACUCUCCUUCAGUUUCUUUGCUCUUCUCCUUCACUGGAAUUCCUUGCCCAGCCCCAAACAAAAAAGAAAAAGUGCAUUACUGACAUAAUGGCUGGCAAGGUUAUUGGUGUGAAACAGCAGUGAUUUAUUGGAGGUGGAGAUGAAAAAGUAAACUACAGUUUGGGUAUCUGCCUAAACUUAGAACUCUCUCAGUAUGGACCAGUUGGGAAUUUGUGUGCUUCAGCUUUCUAGAAGUUCUGUGUUGUUGGUUUUGUUUAAGUUUGUUUCUGUAGAAUAUGAAUGUCUUGAAUGUUUUUGAAAUAUAAUCAAAAUAGUGAUCUAGAGCUGUUUUUCCAAGACUGUUCAUGCAUAAUUAUAUUCUGUCAAAACUAGCAAAUUCCUAUAAAUAAUAUUUUCCAAGUUUUUAUGCAAGAUUAAAAUCUCAUUUCUUGUUAAUCUUGUUUGUAUGUGAAUUUUGUAUUUGAAUUAAGAAAGCCAUAGUGAUCAUGACGGUACAGGGGAAAUGUAUAAAAAUACAGAACUUUAAAAAUGCUAUUGGAAAUAGAAAACAAGGAAAUACAGAACUAAACUAUCUGGUUAUCUUAGGUUAAAACUAAGUAUAUGAUUUCUUCAAUAUGAUCAAAGAACAAACUAUAGUGAGGUCUUUUUAUAGCUGAUCUAAUGUAACUCUGACAUGAUAAAGAACACAUCUGAAGGCACUUUUCAAAGUAAUAUAAAACAGGAUCUGUGAGCAGCAUUUCUGACAAAUUGAAGGGACUUCAUCUAGUAAUUUAUAGUGUGUUGUACAUUCAAAGUAUGUACAUAUAAAAGAGCUGAUCUUUUUUCUCCUUUCUUCAUAAGAGGAGAGUUGUAAUUGAUGAAUAUUUCUAUCACAUUUACAAAUAAAUACGGGACAAGAAAUAGCAUUCUGUUACUGUGGAAUGUUUGCAUCAAAAACUGAACUAUCUGCAGCAUUAUUUCAGAAGAAAACAGCCACUCAUCUUCUUGAAGGCUUACAGUUUAAGGUAUUACAAAGUUUAGAUGAAAAAUCUACCAAGUUGCUGGCAAAAUCAGAACACCUGUAUUUCUUAGGUUUACUGAAAGAAUGUCUAAAAGCCAGUGUGGUAACUGAUUUAGAAUAAAGGUCAAAAAUGUCUUUCAAAAACUCAUUUCCAGACUCUUAACAGCUUGAAAUAAAUUUAAGGAAUAAGAAAAAAGAAGAAUCACAUAUAGAGGAAAAAAAGUAACAGGAAAUGUGCAAAUUC
RNA transcript from Poecile atricapillus (Black-capped chickadee), 6252 nucleotides. It is a transcript of the gene named far upstream element binding protein 1, with no coding region annotated. The transcript is spliced from 21 exons. The record is from RefSeq and is a predicted model, not a curated record. Lineage: Eukaryota; Metazoa; Chordata; Aves; Passeriformes; Paridae.